This 22-nucleotide microRNA is filed under the name Picea abies (Norway spruce). RNAcentral describes it as "pab-miR3698". The record is from miRBase by way of RNAcentral. Lineage: Eukaryota; Viridiplantae; Streptophyta; Pinopsida; Pinales; Pinaceae.
CUUGCAACUCUGCCUUGGCUUA